GAUGAACGCUGGCGGCGUGCUUAACACAUGCAAGUCGAACGAAACACCUUAUUUGAUUUUCUUCGGAACUGAGGAUUUGGUGAUUGAGUGGCGGACGGGUGAGUAACGCGUGGGUAACCUGCCCUUUCCAGGGGGAUAACCGUCAGCAAUGACUGCUAAUACCGCAUAAGACCCCAGCACCGCAUGGUGCUUGGGUAAAACCUCCGGUGGUAUAGGCUGGACCCGCGUCUGAUUAUCUGGUUAGUGAGGGAACGGCACACGAUGGCGACGCUCAGUAGCCGGGAUGAGAGACUGAACGGAGACAUUGGGACUGAGACACGGUAGAAAAUCCUACGGGAGGCAGCAGUGGGGAAUAUAGCAAAAUGGGGGAAAUCAUGAUGGAGCGACGACGGGUGAGUGAAGAAGUAAGGCGGUAUGUAAAGCGCUAGCAGCAGGGAAGAAAAUGACGGUACCUGACUAAGAAGCCACGGCUAACUACGUG
Molecule: ribosomal RNA, 481 nt
Filed under: uncultured bacterium
Lineage: Bacteria
Description: partial 16S ribosomal RNA
Rfam family: Bacterial small subunit ribosomal RNA
Source: RNAcentral